RNAcentral lists this long non-coding RNA (622 nucleotides) under Ananas comosus (pineapple). Its description in RNAcentral is "long non-coding RNA (ACOM_LNC021304)". Lineage: Eukaryota; Viridiplantae; Streptophyta; Magnoliopsida; Poales; Bromeliaceae. The record is from RNAcentral.
AAAUAAAUUUGCAUCUGAUCCGGGAACAUAAAUAACGUAUGAUAUUUUAGUAAUUUCGAAAAUGUAACGACUCGACCUACUAGCAAUAAUAACUCGUUGGGCCAAAACCACUGGCCCAAAAUGCUUAAGCCCAGUUAUCAUUACUAGGAUGGAGUCCUCUUAUAUGCCCAAUAACAAUUUUAUUCCCAUCCGGUGUGGGAAUAUUGGGUGUCACAGACUCCCCCCAUUUAGGCCCUGACCUCCUUAUCAACCCUAAAUACACAUAGCCCAAGAUCACCACGCGAUGUGAGACUUGUCUCGCUAGCCUUUGUCAUUUCAACCCUGACUUAUCCUGUCAUUCAUCGAUCCUGUCUUAAUCUGUCAUUCCGACUCUAGAUAAGCCAAGAUUCAUCUCACACUUCUGGCUAGUGAACCGGCUCUGAUACCAAAUGUAAUAAUCCGACCCACUAACAAUAAUAACUUAUUGGGUCAAAACCACCGACCCAAAUUGCUUAAGCCUAGUUAUCAUUACUAGGGUAGAGUCCUCUUAUAUAUUCAAUGACAAUUCCAUUCGCAUCCGAUGUGGGACUAUUGGGGUGUCACAUAAAAACACUUUUUUUGCUUGUGCUUCACAAACUCGGCU